Long non-coding RNA from Sapajus apella (tufted capuchin), 2110 nucleotides. RefSeq lists it as uncharacterized. The record is from RefSeq and is a predicted model, not a curated record. The transcript has 2 exons. Lineage: Eukaryota; Metazoa; Chordata; Mammalia; Primates; Cebidae.
UAUUUUUAGUAAAGACAGGGUUUCACCAUGUUGGCCAGGCUGUUUUGAACUCCUGACCUCAAGUGAUCCACCCACCUUGUACAAAUACAUAUUUAUUAUAGGAAGAAUUAGAAAACCUGUAAGCACAAAGGGAGUUGGGGGCCGGGCGUUGGAAUAGUAUAAUCCCACCAUCUAUAGAUAAUCACCGCUGAAGUUCAGGCAUACUACAGCCUCUGUGGUAAACUGACCUAGGCUAGUUUAGUGGUUCACAGCUAAUAGGUCAUUUAUGGUUGAUAGCAGGAGGCUCCAGUGAUUACAGAUCUCUACCCCACAACCUCUCUAAGGGUGAAAAAAAAAAGCAAGAGCAGUUCUCAAACCAAUCCUGCUACAGGGACAAACAAGCAUGAGCAAGCAGGCACACAGCCUGUGCUGUAAACUGCGCUGGGGAGGCCCAAGCUCCUGCCUUUCAGCCACGUGGACAAGCACCUUGUGUGAAAGGCUGUCCUGUGUCACGUGCAGCAGCCGUGUUGCAGCCGUAGCAUCGAGCUAACCUCAUAAAGUAGCGCAGGCCACAGACUUCUCUGUCGCGUAGGGCUAGAGAGAUAUAGGCUGCUGAAGUUGCUGAAUUCUCACAACCUGGUCAUAAGAAGGCAGAGUGGCCUGUACAGCAUUUCCAGCUGACCCAUAUACAGUAAGUCCUCCAACGAUGUCAUUUCACUCAGUGUCAUUUCACUGUCACCUUGAUGAGAAACUCUGUUGCUUGUUGGGGCCACUGUGUGGAGGAGCUUCUACAUCCUCUGGCGUCUGCAGGGGUUUCCUGCAGGUUCCCCAGUCUCCUCCCGCAUCCCAGAGAUGUGCAUGUUUGGUUAACUGGUGUGUGGUCCCAGCCUGAAUGAGUGUGUGUGGGAUGGAGGGUGGGGUGUAGGUCUGAGUGCACCCUGCUAGGGGAUGCAUCCUGUCCAGCAUGGGCCCCAACCUUAUACCCUGAGCUGCCGGGACAGGCUCUAGCCACCCUUGACCCUGAAUAGGAAUAACUGGGCAAAUAAUUAUCUUUCUGUGUUUAUUAGCCUUACUUAAAUGUAUGUAUAGCUCACAUUUAUUUCAGUGUUUAAUAUUAUAAAUGUUUUGGUUUUUAUUUAGAAGUUUUGUGAUCUUUUUGUGAUCAGAAAUAGGCCGUAAGAACUUAAGUCUCGUUGAUAUCAAUUAGCUGUGGUAAAAUCAGUUUCACUGAAAGAUGCAGUUUCCAAGAACCUGACAGUGACAUUGAGCCCUGACUGUACCGUCACACAUUGCUUAACAACAGGGAUAUGUUCUGACAAAUGCAUCGUUAGUCAGUUUUGUCAUUGUGUAAACAUCAUAGUGUUCUUACAUAAACCUAGAUGGCACAGCCUGCUACACACCUACACCAUAGGCUAUAGCUUCUGUUACUAGACUACAAACCGAUACAACGUGUUACCAUACUGAAUACUGCAGGCAGUUGUAACAUGGUGGUAUUUGUAUAUUUACAUAUAUCUAAACAUAGAAAAGUUACAGUAAAAACACAACAUGUUAUAAAAGAUUGAAAAUGGCACACCUGUAUAGGGCAUGUACCAUGAAGGGAGUUUAUAGGCCUGGAAGUUGCCCCUGGUGAGGCAGUGAGUGGGAAGUGAAUGUGGCUACUCACACGAGUGUAAACUGUAAACACUGCCUACUGAGGCUACACUAUAUUCAUUUCACAUUUUUUCUUUAAUAAUAAGUUAACCUUAACAUACUGUAACUUUAAAAAUAAAUUUUAAGAGACUUUUGACAGUUUCAUGGUAACACUGAACUUAAAACACAAAUAUAUUGUACUAUACAAAAAUGGUUUCUUUAUAUCCUAUUCUAUAAGCUUUUUUCUAUUUUUAUUUAUAUUUUUUACUGUUUCGAUUUUUUGUUAAAAACUAAGACACAAACACAUACAUUAGCCUUGGCCUGCACAGGGUGAGAAUCAUUAAUUUCACUGUCUUCCGCCUUCACCUCUUGUCUCACUGAGAGGUCUUCAGGGGCACUAACACAUUUGAAGCUGUCAUGUCCUGUGAUAACAAUGCCUUCUUCUGGAAUACCUCCUGGAGGAGCUGCCUGAAGCUGUUUUACAGUUAACUUUUUUUUUUUU